RNAcentral lists this long non-coding RNA (3073 nucleotides) under Homo sapiens (human). Its description in RNAcentral is "HSALNT0344381". Lineage: Eukaryota; Metazoa; Chordata; Mammalia; Primates; Hominidae. The record is from RNAcentral.
AACUUGAAGCCAAGACAGGAAGCAGGAAAGGGGCUUCCAGGUCACAGCACAAAGAGGCAAAGCAGAAGCAGCAGACAGGACGUCAAAGAACCAGUGCAUGGCUGCGCCGGGCCCCGGGGCUUCCCACACGGGUUACUGUCAUCCUUCCGAAUCACUGGACUUGAAGCCCAGCAUGUUGCUGAGUUUUGCUCCAGAGACAAUUGCCAUUUGUUAUUUAAGUGACAAAGGUAACGCAUGCCGGCGGGAAGCAAUGCACAAAAUGUGAAGGUGAGUGGAGACCCUCCCCAGACCCCCCACCUCUGCCACCACCACAAACACGCACAAUCCAAGUGUAUCCAUGCUUCUGUAGACUGAUUUUUGCUAUUAUUUGUUCUUAUAAACAUGGGGUCCAUAUACCAGCUUCCGAGGGCUACCUAACAAAAUAUCACUGACCAGGUGGUAUAGACAGCAGAAGUUUGUUUUCUCCCUGCCCCAGAGGCUGGAGGUCUGAGAUCAGGGUGUGGGCAGGGCUGGUUUCUCCUGGGGCCUCCCUGCGUGGCUUGUGGACGCUGUCUCCUCCCAGUAUCCUCCUGUGGCCACCCCUCUGUGUGUCCGUGCACUCGCCUCUUCUCGUAAGGACAGUCAGAUUGGACCAGGGCCCCACCUCAUGACCUCAUUUUAGCAGACUGUGUGAGAGAACUGUUGCCCACAUUCUCACCAGACAGGCGUAUGGUUCUUUGUUCUUUUCUCAACUCUUUCUAAGGAAAAUCUCAAACAUACACAAAAGUCCAGAGAACAGAACAACGAACCAUACUCACCACCCAGCUGCGACCACCAUCAGCUUUUACUAAUUGUAUUGCAUCUGUUUCCCUGGCCAUUUUCUGGAACAUAUUUAGAACAAAUCCCUGCCAAACAUUAUGGUAUUUCACCAACAGACACCCAUACGCAUUUCUAAGGCACCAAGAGUUUUUAGCAACCUAGGUGCAAUCCCGUUAAUUCCUCAAUAUCAGCAAAGGCCACAAGGCUUCUGCUAGUGAGUGUUAGGCUGUGGAGCACUUCAGUAGGCCUCAAUUCCAUCUCCCUCUUUGCUAGCGUGGUGGGACCACCUUCAGACCUUUGCUUUUGAGGUAGGAGGUGGGACCUGAGUCCAGAGGCGGGGCUCUUGGACACAGGACCAAAUUGAAGACUAGCUGAAACAGGGAGGGGCAGAAAACCAGUGUGCCAUGUCAGUUUACCAUUGUCACGGCAAUACCCGGAGUACCACCCCUUCAAUAACCUGACAACCCGGAAGUUACCACCCUUUUCCUAAAAGUUCUGCAUAAACCACCCCUAAUUUGCAUAUAAUUAAAAGUGGACCUAAACAUGACUGCAGACCUGCCGCUAAGCUGCUACCCUGGGCGCACUGCCUAUGGGGGAGCCCUGCUUUACCAAGAGCAGUCCCUCCGUUGCCGCCGCUGUGCACGGGGCUUCCACAAAAGCUUCUGCCUCACACCCCUGGCCCGCCCUGGAGUUCUUCCCUCCUGGGCAAGCCCCGAUUUUGGUGUUUGCCUGUCCUGCAUCGCUUUCAUCUGGAUUUCCUCCCAUGUGAAAUUAGCUGUGCAGAUCCUUCCCUUUUUUUUUUUUCUAUUGAAUCAUUUUCCUCUUAUCAAUACGUAUGUUCUCUUUCUAUAUGAAGUUAUAUGCAGAUUCAGAAGAGAAGGCUUCAGGCAAGUUCCUUCUCCAGCCCCUGCUCCCAUCUCUCUCUUCCCUGUUUCUCUGGCCCUUGCUCUCAUCUCUCUCUGCCCUGCUUGGAGGCAUCCAGCCUUCUUCACCACAGGGAACAUGGAGCUCAAAAGAUAACACACACCUUAAUGCUGUUGACAGCUGCCCCAGUGGCAAAGGGACAUGUUUUCAUCACCUACACCUUGUUUGGCCAGUUAGAGGGCUGUGUUUCUCAGAGUCAGGAAGUCCUGGGCCAGGUGGAGGAAAGAAAUGGCGCAGCCACCUCUGGCCUCCUCCUGCUCCUCCUGGAUCUGGGAGAUGGCGCCCAGCCAAGCCCUCCAUGCCCUGCCCGUGAGUGGGAUGUCUGACUGCUCUCACCGUCUCUCCUUCUCCCCUUAACCCCAGGCCCAACCCCUCCGGGCUCACUGCUUGUGGUUUUUCUGCUUAGGAAUUGGUCCCUGGGUGUAGCCCAGGCUUGUAGGGCCCCGUCCUCCCCAGCCCUGCUCCCCACUGUUCAGGGGCAGCCCCCCCACUCCUCCCACCUGCCGUGGCUCUUUGCUGCACCCUCCCUGGCCCAGUCUUGGCAUUCGCCCUUAUCAGUUCUCCGUCUUCUUUGAAGCUGAGACAGAGUAUUGUCCCCCACUUGCUUGCAGAUGCUAAGAUGGAGUUUAGAGCACAGGAUAUUGAUCAGGGACCCAUGCCUGGGAAAGGGGCAGAGAGAGAAGCCCAGCAAGAUGCACCCUGGCCCAGCCUCGGCACCCCCAGGGAGCCCUGGGCUGUGGGGCCUGUUAGAGUUGCUGCAGGUGGGCGGGAAGGGCUGGGCAUUCAUACCCCCCACAGCUGGUCCCGGGUAAGGUGACCAUCUGCAGCUGAGGCAGCCUGAAGGAGGGACAGCUGGAGGUAUCUGAGGCUGCUCUCCCAAUGCUGGAGGGCAGGGCCUUCCCUGGAGGGAUCCGAAGGGGCAUUUCCAUGCCCAGCUCAUACAGGAAGCUUAUUGGAGCCUCACAUCUGGAAAGCACUACAGACCGCACCGCAGACCGCACGACAGACCGCACCGCAGACCGCUCUACAGACCGGCACAUGCGCAACCCUGCCCGGCUGCUCUCCCUCCCUGCCUGGCUGCUCUCCCUCCCUGCCCAGCUGCUUUCUCUCCCUGCUGUGACCAGGCCAUUUUGGUGCAUUAUCUGUGCUCAGCGCUUUCCUCCUCUAUUUGAUGACUUUUCCAGGCAGUGGGCCUGGGGGUGAAGUCCCCUUGACCUUUGGGCUCCACCCAGGCACCUGGAGCCCCUGGGCUCUUCCCCUGCAGGGAACUGUUAGCAUCCUGCACUUUGCCCUCCUCCCAUCCUGCCCACGGGAGAUGCAGCGUGAACUCCUAGUCCUCAAAAAGGCUUAA